RNAcentral lists this long non-coding RNA (266 nucleotides) under Malus domestica (apple). RNAcentral describes it as "long non-coding RNA (MDOM_LNC003948)". The record is from RNAcentral. Lineage: Eukaryota; Viridiplantae; Streptophyta; Magnoliopsida; Rosales; Rosaceae.
GAAGUCGACAUAUAUAGAGAUUUCCCAAUAGCAAGUGCUGGUGUUGUGCCUUUACUCUUGUCAGCAACUGUGGUGUAAUUAGAACAGUAAGAUUUACGCGUUUUCAACUUUGUCAAAGAUCUUUGACAAAGUUGCACGCGAUAUCCAAAAAAGCUGAGAUUGCGUCUGAAAAAUGCCAACAAACUUUAUUCAGGAAAAUCUGGCUUUUGAAAUUCGGAGAGCGGUGCCACUUCGAUCUCUGAACGAAUGGCUAUGUUGCCUCUUCU